RNAcentral lists this transfer RNA (85 nucleotides) under Felis catus (domestic cat). It matches the Rfam family "tRNA". From Rfam's summary of the family: Transfer RNA (tRNA) molecules are approximately 80 nucleotides in length. Their secondary structure includes four short double-helical elements and three loops (D, anti-codon, and T loops). Further hydrogen bonds mediate the characteristic L-shaped molecular structure. tRNAs have two regions of fundamental functional importance: the anti-codon, which is responsible for specific mRNA codon recognition, and the 3' end, to which the tRNAs corresponding amino acid is attached (by aminoacyl-tRNA synthetases). tRNAs cope with the degeneracy of the genetic code in two manners: having more than one tRNA (with a specific anti-codon) for a particular amino acid; and 'wobble' base-pairing, i.e. permitting non-standard base-pairing at the 3rd anti-codon position. The record is from Rfam by way of RNAcentral. Lineage: Eukaryota; Metazoa; Chordata; Mammalia; Carnivora; Felidae.
GCCUGGGUGGCUCAGUCAGUUAAGCAUCUGACUUUGGGUCAGGUCAUGAUCUCACACUUUGUGAGUUCAAGUCCCACAUCAGGUG